AUGCACUUUUUCGGCCUUGCAGUUGUAGUAGUAGCAGGCCAAGGAAAGGCAGCAGCACAAAGGAAACGUCAAAAUGCCAACUGGACUAGUAGCCGAGCCGAAUCCGAUGAUGACCCAAGCCACCUGCCCACCUCACCCCACCCUCACGCGCUCUCUCACAUCCCGGCGACCAAUCCUAACCCUCUUUCUAUUAUUCUCUUUCCCUACUCUCACGCCUCUCUCAUGUGUCCGGCGCGUCAUCGCCGAACCGACCCCAACCUCUCUUUUUUCUAUUAACCCUUUCUUUCCCAAUCAAUAACCUAAAUCUCCCCUAACCAAAAACCAAUCCCCACCUUUUUUCGCUCUUCCCCCAACCCUCCCAUGGGCGACCUUAUGGAUUCCCUCACGCCGUCAACGACUCCUACCCCUCCUUCCACCACUCCCCACUCCCGUCCGUUACCUGUCCGUGAAGAUUGUUGGUCUGAGGAAGCUACCUCUACCCUCGUCGACGCUUGGGGUCGCCGUUAUCUCGAGCUUAACCGUGGGAACCUCCGUCAGAAGGAUUGGCAAGAUGUUGCUGACGCCGUUAACGCUCUUCACGGUCAUACUAAAAAGACGCACCGUACAGAUGUCCAGUGCAAGAACAGGAUUGAUACUAUCAAGAAAAAGUACAAGAUCGAGAAAACUCGUGUUACCUCCUCUAAUGGAACCCUAACGUCGUCAUGGCCUUUCUUUGAACGCUUGGAUGCUCUCAUCGGAUCCAAUUUCGCCGCUAAAAAGCUUUCUCCUUCGCCUAAGAUGUCCCCGAAGCCAUCGCCAAGGUUGUCACCGAGGAUCCCGGGGUCUCCUCCCAUGGCUCUCCCGCUUCCGCUGCCGUACAGAAGGACUCCGGCGUCGGCCACGGUUGCCGCACUUCCGCAGAAGAGGCCUGUGGCGGACGAUGGAAAUUUCAGGAGAAAUUAUUCUGCUGUUGCGGCUGCAGCUGCUGCUGCAGAAAGUGAUGAGGAGGGAGAGGAAAGCGAGGGACAGGAAACUGAAGGAGAAGGAGAGGAGAGGGAAGGGAUGAAGAGAUUGGCGAGAGCGAUAGAGAGGUUUGGGCAUGUGUAUGAAAAAGUGGAAGGGGAGAAACUGAGGCAGAUGGUGGAAUUGGAGAAGCAAAGAAUGCAAUUUGCUAAAGAUUUGGAAGUGCAGAGGAUGAGGAUGUUUAUGGAUACGCAGGUGCAACUCGAAAGGAUCAAGCGCGGCAAAGGAUCCUCGGGGUCCAGUGGAUGAUCUUUGAAUGACUUGAUGGUUUGAUAACACAAAGGGGUAAAAUUCAUUUAUGGAUGAGUGUUUUGGAUCAGUAUGUGGCAUAUUUGUACAAUAAACAAGGUUGCUGACAUUUAUAGCUAGCCAUAUAUGGGGGAAGAGUUUCGACUGUUUUUUGCGCGGGAAAAACAUGAAGAAUAUUGAUUUUUAUACUCAUCCCUUGAAAGUAUGUAUAGUUCUAGCUGAUAGUGGCCUCAGAACUCAGAAGUCAAUCAGCAGUUGGCAGAUAAGGUUGCCAGAGUUGUUAAAGUUUCUUUCUUUUGCCUUUCCCCCUUCAUUUUAGGGGCCAUAAAAGAACUGAACUCGUUGUAAUUUAAUUUGGGAUGUUGGAACUGGGCCUACAUUUGGUCCAAUGUCAUUUGUUUUAGUUGGUGAGUCUCUAACGUAUUAGCUUUUUUAAGCCUUUGUGUUUCUUGCAAUGUACAAGAUUAGGUUGUAUCCAGAAACUCUU
Durio zibethinus is the source of this 1738-nucleotide RNA transcript. It is a transcript of the gene named trihelix transcription factor ENAP1-like, with no coding region annotated. Lineage: Eukaryota; Viridiplantae; Streptophyta; Magnoliopsida; Malvales; Malvaceae. The record is from RefSeq and is a predicted model, not a curated record.